GUGUUUCACUCUGUGGCCCUGGCUGAUCAGAAACUGCUCUGCAGACCAGGCUGGCCUCAAACUCAGAGAUGCAGAGAUGCACUGUCUGCCCGCCCCUGCUGGGAUUAAAGCUGUGCCCUCCUGAUUUGCUUUCAGGUGUUCUGCAAGCAUCUCCAGGAGGGGUUAUCAGCAUCACCACCAUUACCGCCGUCUUACAGGUAACUCCACAAGCUUGCUGAACGUCAGACACACCGCUUGAAUCAGGACGGCUGUUUCCAAAUCGUGGCUGUUGAACUGUGCAGCUUAACCCAGACUUGCAUCUUUGGACCCCGGGUCUGGGACUCCUCUGAUGCCUGAGGACUGCCCCAUCUCUCCUUCUUCCUUUUGCCCUUGUCUCUGAUGGAGGACACUUUAUUGCCUCUCUACUGUCCCCUCCCCUGGUCUCCCACUGCUGCUGUGGAGGGCCCCAGGGCCUGCCCUCCAGCUGAAGGCUGUUGCUGCCUAGGCUGAGUCAGAAUAGCCCGACUGGCCUCCUGUUGUUGUAAAGAGCCAACUAUGGCUUCACAUGAAGACAGAGCCUGCUUUGAGACUCAAAGCCGAUCACAGGGUUCUCUUCAGAAUGGCUCCUGAUCUCAAGCAGACAGAUUCUCUUAAAGACUCUGGAUCUAGAGGCGGGUGGUGACAUGUAGUGAGAACUUCGGUGUCUUUGAAAUAACAGAAAUAUCAUGUAAAUAUGUUUUUGUUUUAGUCCCAGGUGUGGGGUGUGGGGGUCGCUUCAGAUCGUCCACAGCAGCUGACUAUGUCUUAUGCUCUGGCAGAAGCAUGGUUUUGCCAGCUGAAGAUAGUUUCUGUCUUGCAUUCUGGGCACUCUUGAGAGGAUCUAUAGAUGCUAAUAGAAGGGGCUGAUUGGCUGGCAGAUUGCUGGACUACAAAGAUUGGAAUUCCCUCAACUUUCCUCAAAGAACUCCACACCCCUAACCAGCAGGAAAUAGCCUAACAAGAUGGAUGCCCCCUUUCCAACCCUUCUUCCUCCCCUUCCUUCCCUUCCUUGGGAAGUUUGAAAGGUGGUAGGAAAAAGAAUUCAAUAAAGUAGCCAAAAAUUCUAGCUGCAGGUGAAUGCUUUUAAUCCCUGCACUCGGGAGGCAGAGACAGGCAGAUCUCUUGAGUUCCAGGACAGCCAGGGCUACACAGAGAAACCCUGUCUCAAAAAACAAAACAAAACAAAACAAAAGGCCUGGAUUGUGUGGUCAGCGGUAGAGCAGUUGAUUAGCAUGUGUGAACCGCCCCUCCCACCCCCCACCCCCGAUUCCAUUCCCAGCACCAACUAAAGAAAGAGAGCUGGACCAAGGUUUGGGUCCUGCUGUAUCACUUGUUGGCCUUGUGCUCUGGAAACUAGAUCAAGGGCUGGAGUGUAGCUUCCUGGUAGAGCCUGGGCAAAGAAGCUUUUAGUUGCUACUUUGAACCUGGGUUUCUCAGUCUUGAGAAGAUUAAAUGCGUGUGUUAAAGCUCAUAGCAAAAUGGCUAGCAUACAGUAAAAUUCAGCAAAUAAUCA
Molecule: long non-coding RNA, 1531 nt
Organism: Rattus norvegicus (Norway rat)
Lineage: Eukaryota; Metazoa; Chordata; Mammalia; Rodentia; Muridae
Source: RefSeq, a predicted model, not a curated record